This 501-nucleotide long non-coding RNA is filed under the name Sinocyclocheilus anshuiensis. Its description in RNAcentral is "lncRNA (ENSSANG00000049539.1)". The record is from RNAcentral. Lineage: Eukaryota; Metazoa; Chordata; Actinopteri; Cypriniformes; Cyprinidae.
AUAUCUGAUAGAUGCUCAUCUCUUUAUUUUGCGUGAAAUAUGACUAGACAUGUUUCGCUUUCGUGAGAUUCACCCUAUUAUAUCUAAAGCAAUGGCCUUUAUAGUUUCUGGGCCACUGUAAAGGGUUAAAACCUCUUUGGCCAGACGUCAAAUGCUCUCUGAUUCCCCACAGCGAUCAGAGGAGAGAGCUGCAUUUUUCUCUGCGAGUCUCCGGGUCCAUGUUGGCGUUGAUCUGCUCUGCUGGGUCAUUUCAGGCCACGUCUGUCCGAGCACAGGAGCAAACGCUGAUAUUACAGGGAUAUCUAAUAAAGGACAUACACACCAGACUGUGCUGCAGCUUCGAGAUUUUCACGUUGGGAGGGAUUCGUGCAGCUCAGCCCUGGCAGGACUAAAUGUUCCCACGUCGUUCUGCCUCUGCUGCUCCACACCGCUGUGGGACGACUCCGAUAUCACCAAGAACAAGAUAUCAGCGAGUCCGUGGAUGACAACAGCAUGAUGUUG